UACUUAGAGUUACAACAAAGCUCUGGUGAAAUUCAGACUGAAGAGACAGACAUCUCAGACUGAAAGCUUAUACAGCACUGUGAAAAGAAAAGGACAGGGCACAUCCAGAACAGAUAUGGACAAGAAUGUCUCCAGAGUUAGUAGUUCAGAUAAGGAUGUUAGCAGAAAGCGGAAAAGUCAGCCUUCUGGAUCUUCAGGAGUCCACAAUG
This 209-nucleotide long non-coding RNA is filed under the name Salvator merianae (Argentine black and white tegu). Its description in RNAcentral is "lncRNA (ENSSMRG00000017360.1)". The record is from RNAcentral. Lineage: Eukaryota; Metazoa; Chordata; Lepidosauria; Squamata; Teiidae.